GAUGAACGCUGGCGGUAUGCCUAACACAUGCAAGUCGUACGAGAGUUUUUAACUCAAGUGGCGGACGGGUGAGUAACACGUGAGAAUUUGCCUUUAGGAGGGGGACAACAACUGGAAACGGUUGCUAAUACCCCAUAUGCUUUCGAGUGAAAUGAAUUUAUUCGCCUAAAGAGAAGCUCGCGGCUGAUUAGCUUGUUGGUGGGGUAAGAGCCUACCAAGGCGACGAUCAGUAUCUGGUUUGAGAGGACGAUCAGACACACUGGAACUGAGACACGGUCCAGACUCCUACGGGAGGCAGCAGUGGGGAAUUUUCCGCAAUGGGCGAAAGCCUGACGGAGCAAUACCGCGUGAAGGAAGACGGCCUAUGGGUUGUAAACUUCUUUUUUCAGGGA
This 392-nucleotide ribosomal RNA is filed under the name uncultured bacterium. RNAcentral's name for it is "bacterial SSU rRNA". It matches the Rfam family "Bacterial small subunit ribosomal RNA", at positions 28 to 445 of the family's 1533-position model. The record is from RNAcentral.